UGGUGGACUGAUUUGUCUGGUUAAUUCCGAUAACGAACGAGACUCUGACCUAUUAACUAGGCGCUCCCGGUAUAAAUACCUACCGGCGAGAUUUAUUCUUCUUAAGGGGACAGGCGGCUCUUAGCCGCACGAGAUUGAGCAAUAACA
Molecule: ribosomal RNA, 147 nt
Filed under: uncultured eukaryote
Lineage: Eukaryota
Description: partial 18S ribosomal RNA
Rfam family: Eukaryotic small subunit ribosomal RNA
Source: RNAcentral